This 380-nucleotide ribosomal RNA is filed under the name Paenibacillus popilliae. RNAcentral's name for it is "bacterial LSU rRNA". It matches the Rfam family "Bacterial large subunit ribosomal RNA", at positions 1 to 372 of the family's 2925-position model. Lineage: Bacteria; Bacillati; Bacillota; Bacilli; Caryophanales; Paenibacillaceae. The record is from RNAcentral.
GGUUAAGCUAGUAAGAGCACACGGAGGAUGCCUAGGCGCCAGGAGCCGACGAAGGACGUGGCGAACGACGAUAUAGCCUCGGGGAGCUGUAAGCAAGCAUCGAUCCGGGGAUGUCCGAAUGGGGAAACCCGGCUGUCAUAAUAGGCAGUCACUCGCACCUGAAUCUAUAGGGUGUGAAGAGGCAUACGAGGGGAACUGAAACAUCUAAGUACCCUCAGGAAGAGAAAACAAUAGUGAUUCCGUCAGUAGCGGCGAGCGAACGCGGAAGAGCCUAAACCGGAGAGCUUGCUCUCCGGGGUUGUGGGACGUCUCACAUGGAGUCAGAAAGGUGUUUAUUAGACGAAGAGUCCUGGAAAGACUCGCCGUAGAAGGUAAUAGCC